CUCCUGCUCUCUAACGGGGUCGUGGCUGGGCGAAAUUGGACACUUUUUGGAGGUAGAGGAACUAACGUCCGGCGAGCAGGACUCUCGUGGCUGGGCCCAUGGCCUCCUGCGCGAGCAUCGACAUUGAGGACGCCACGCAGCAUCUGCGGGACAUCCUCAAACUGGACCGGCCCGCCGGAGGUUCCUUUAGCCAGAUUCAGGAUCCUCCCGUUUGAUUGCGGAGGACAGGAAUUGGAGUCAUGGAUGGUCCCUGGUUAUAUCCAGAGAAUGGCGC
RNAcentral lists this long non-coding RNA (274 nucleotides) under Rattus norvegicus (Norway rat). RNAcentral's name for it is "long non-coding RNA NONRATT014220". The record is from RNAcentral. Lineage: Eukaryota; Metazoa; Chordata; Mammalia; Rodentia; Muridae.